AUACGGAGGGUGCAAGCGUUACUCGGAAUCACUGGGCGUAAAGCGCGCGUAGGCGGCUUGGUCAGUCGGAUGUGAAAGCCCCGGGCUCAACCUGGGAAUGGCAUUCGAUACUGCCAGGCUAGAGUAUGGGAGAGGGAAGUGGAAUUUCCGGUGUAGCGGUGAAAUGCGUAGAUAUCGGAAGGAACACCAGUGGCGAAGGUGACUUCCUGGCCCAAUACUGACGCCGAGGUGCGAAAGCGUGGGGAGCGAACAGGAUUAGAUACCCCUGUAGUCC
Molecule: ribosomal RNA, 274 nt
Filed under: uncultured bacterium
Lineage: Bacteria
Description: partial 16S ribosomal RNA
Rfam family: Bacterial small subunit ribosomal RNA
Source: RNAcentral